GAUGAACGCUGGCGGCGUGCCUAAUACAUGCAAGUCGAGCGAACAGAUGAGGAGCUUGCUCCUCUGACGUUAGCGACGGACGGGUGAGUAACACGUGGAUAACCUACCUAUAAGACUGGGAUAACUACGGGAAACCGGAGCUAAUACCGGAUAAUAUAUUGAACCGCAUGGUUCAAUAGUGAAAGACGGUUUUGCUGUCACUUAUAGAUGGAUCCGCGCCGCAUUAGCUAGUUGGUAAGGUAACGGCUUACCAAGGCAACGAUGCGUAGCCGACCUGAGAGGGUGAUCGGCCACACUGGAACUGAGACACGGUCCAGACUCCUACGGGAGGCAGCAGUAGGGAAUCUUCCGCAAUGGGCGAAAGCCUGACGGAGCAACGCCGCGUGAGUGAUGAAGGUCUUCGGAUCGUAAAACUCUGUUAUUAGGGAAGAACAAAUGUGUAAGUAACUAUGCACGUCUUGACGGUACCUAAUCAGAAAGCCACGGCUAACUACGUG
This 497-nucleotide ribosomal RNA is filed under the name uncultured bacterium. RNAcentral's name for it is "partial 16S ribosomal RNA". It matches the Rfam family "Bacterial small subunit ribosomal RNA", at positions 28 to 507 of the family's 1533-position model. The record is from RNAcentral.